UACAGAGGUGGCAAGCGUUGUUCGGAAUUACUGGGCGUAAAGGGCGCGUAGGCGGCCUUCUAAGUCAGACGUGAAAUCCCCCGGCUUAACCUGGGAACUGCGUCUGAUACUGGAGGGCUUGAGUGCGGGAGAGGGAUGUGGAAUUCCAGGUGUAGCGGUGAAAUGCGUAGAUAUCUGGAGGAACACCGGUGGCGAAGGCGGCAUCCUGGACCGACACUGACGCUGAGGCGCGAAAGCCAGGGGAGCAAACGGG
RNAcentral lists this ribosomal RNA (253 nucleotides) under uncultured bacterium. RNAcentral's name for it is "partial 16S ribosomal RNA". It matches the Rfam family "Bacterial small subunit ribosomal RNA", at positions 524 to 776 of the family's 1533-position model. The record is from RNAcentral.